GACAGAGGGUGCAAACGUUGUUCGGAAUUACUGGGCGUAAAGCGCGUGUAGGCGGCUAUGUAAGUCGGGCGUGAAAUCCCACGGCUCAACCGUGGAAGUGCACCCGAAACUGCGUAGCUAGAGUCCUGGAGAGGAAGGUGGAAUGCUUGGUGUAGAGGUGAAAUUCGUAGAUAUCAAGCGGAACACCGGUGGCGAAGGCGGCCAGCUGGGCCGGACCUGACGCUGAGACGCGAAGGCGUGGGGAGCGAACGGG
This 253-nucleotide ribosomal RNA is filed under the name uncultured bacterium. RNAcentral's name for it is "partial 16S ribosomal RNA". It matches the Rfam family "Bacterial small subunit ribosomal RNA", at positions 524 to 776 of the family's 1533-position model. The record is from RNAcentral.